CAAUAACUAUUAGGUGAGGUGCACGUCAUCGGUGGGAUUGCAGCACCCACUAGGAAUCCUUUGUCACAUUAGGAUUUUCGUUCCCUUCCCGAGGAGUGAAGGGAUCCGAUAAAUUAGUGGGAGUCAUUAUUUGCAUCUUAAAACUUCUAGAAGCAAAUAUAACUGCUAAAUACAAAAGUCUAACUUGAAUCUCUACUCUCACAGUUAAAAAUGUCUGUCUCGAACCCUCUAGCCUGCAUUCUUGAAACCAAUCA
This 254-nucleotide long non-coding RNA is filed under the name Elaeis guineensis (African oil palm). RNAcentral describes it as "long non-coding RNA (EGUI_LNC053077)". The record is from RNAcentral. Lineage: Eukaryota; Viridiplantae; Streptophyta; Magnoliopsida; Arecales; Arecaceae.